This 73-nucleotide transfer RNA is filed under the name Canis lupus familiaris (dog). It matches the Rfam family "tRNA". Rfam says of the family: Transfer RNA (tRNA) molecules are approximately 80 nucleotides in length. Their secondary structure includes four short double-helical elements and three loops (D, anti-codon, and T loops). The record is from Rfam by way of RNAcentral. RNAcentral also lists the same sequence under 1 other name. Lineage: Eukaryota; Metazoa; Chordata; Mammalia; Carnivora; Canidae.
GCCUGCCUGGCUCAGUUGGUAGAGCAUGGGACUUUGAAUCCUGAGGUUGUGAGUUUGGACCCCACAUUAGGCU